This 253-nucleotide ribosomal RNA is filed under the name uncultured bacterium. Its description in RNAcentral is "partial 16S ribosomal RNA". It matches the Rfam family "Bacterial small subunit ribosomal RNA", at positions 524 to 776 of the family's 1533-position model. The record is from RNAcentral.
UACGUAGGGGGCUAGCGUUGUCCGGAAUCAUUGGGCGUAAAGCGCGUGUAGGCGGCCCGGUAAGUCCGCUGUGAAAGUCCAGGGCUCAACCCUGGGAUGCCGGUGGAUACUGUCGGGCUCGAGUCCGGAAGAGGCGAGUGGAAUUCCUGGUGUAGCGGUGAAAUGCGCAGAUAUCAGGAGGAACACCAAUGGCGAAGGCAGCUCGCUGGGACGUGACUGACGCUGAGACGCGAAAGCGUGGGGAGCAAACAGG